Cinara cedri is the source of this 290-nucleotide non-coding RNA. Lineage: Eukaryota; Metazoa; Arthropoda; Insecta; Hemiptera; Aphididae. The record is from the annotation of a GenBank genome assembly.
GGGACAAGUUACAACUAGCACUAGUAAUUCACGUGCAUAACACUAUUUAUGAUUGCCGUAUUAUAUGGCCCGAAGUAGAACUUUACCAACUUGAGUAGAUAACUGGGAACGAUACAUACCUUUAUCGGUAUUAUCAAUUCGAAUUGUUGUAAUUAAAUCAUGUACAAGAUAAUCUGGAUAAUAGCAUACUAUCGUUUGUCUAAAUCAGUGAUCCCAACGGGGAUUUUUUGAAAGGGUCAUAUAUAUUUUUUUUAAAUAAUUUCUAGAGUACUUGCCUACAGUAAAUCAAU